RNAcentral lists this ribosomal RNA (464 nucleotides) under uncultured bacterium. Its description in RNAcentral is "bacterial SSU rRNA". It matches the Rfam family "Bacterial small subunit ribosomal RNA", at positions 27 to 507 of the family's 1533-position model. The record is from RNAcentral.
GGACGAACGCUGGCGGCGUGCUUAACACAUGCAAGUCGAACGGUAAGGCCCUUCGGGGUACACGAGUGGCGAACGGGUGAGUAACACGUGGGUGAUCUGCCCUGCACUUCGGGAUAAGCCUGGGAAACUGGGUCUAAUACCGGAUAGGACCAUGGACUUCACGGUUUGUGGUGGAAAGCUUUUGCGGUGUGGGAUGGGCCCGCGGCCUAUCAGCUUGUUGGUGGGGUAAUGGCCUACCAAGGCGACGACGGGUAGCCGGCCUGAGAGGGUGUCCGGCCACACUGGGACUGAGAUACGGCCCCAGACUCCUACGGGAGGCAGCAGUGGGGAAUAUUGCACAAUGGGCGCAAGCCUGAUGCAGCGACGCCGCGUGAGGGAUGACGGCCUUCGGGUUGUAAACCUCUUUCAAUAGGGACGAAGCGCAAGUGACGGUACCUAUAGAAGAAGCACCGGCCAACUACGUG